CGGAGUUCUCUCAAGAGAAGAUUGCUUCUCUGAAGAGACCUUCUUCCUAGGGCAAGACUUGCUUCGAGAGAGGAUAUCCACCCACCUACCCGAUCUUGACCUAUCUUUCCUGGAUGAGGAGGUGGGCGAGGAUCAGCAAUCGAUCGAGCCUGCUAUCGAGAAGCAGCUCUAGUCGGAGUCUAAUGCUGCCAAGGAAGCCCAACCUCCAUCAAAGCAAGAGGUCGUUGAGGUGCCUUUAGGAGUUCCCAUGAAUUCUUCGAAGGCUCCCUAGACUGAGGUGGUUAACGUCUCUACUUAGGCUUCGGCCU
This 308-nucleotide long non-coding RNA is filed under the name Elaeis guineensis (African oil palm). RNAcentral's name for it is "long non-coding RNA (EGUI_LNC013283)". Lineage: Eukaryota; Viridiplantae; Streptophyta; Magnoliopsida; Arecales; Arecaceae. The record is from RNAcentral.